Molecule: ribosomal RNA, 445 nt
Filed under: uncultured bacterium
Lineage: Bacteria
Description: partial 16S ribosomal RNA
Rfam family: Bacterial small subunit ribosomal RNA
Source: RNAcentral
GUGAGGAAUAUUGGUCAAUGGUCGCAAGACUGAACCAGCCAUGCCGCGUGCAGGAAGACGGUCCUAUGGAUUGUAAACUGCUCUUAUACAGGAAGAAACCCUCCCACGUGUGGGAGCUUGACGGUACUGUAGGAAUAAGGAUCGGCUAACUCCGUGCCAGCAGCCGCGGUAAUACGGAGGAUCCAAGCGUUAUCCGGAAUCAUUGGGUUUAAAGGGUCCGUAGGCGGUCUUAUAAGUCAGUGGUGAAAGCCCAUCGCUCAACGAUGGAACUGCCAUUGAUACUGUAAGACUUGAAUGCUUAGGAAGUAACUAGAAUAUGUAGUGUAGCGGUGAAAUGCUUAGAUAUUACAUGGAAUACCAAUUGCGAAGGCAGGUUACUACUAAGUGAUUGACGCUGAUGGACGAAAGCGUGGGGAGCGAACAGGAUUAGAUACCCCGGUAGUCC